CCUACGGGAGGCAGCAGUAGGGAAUAUUGGACAAUGGGUGCGAGCCUGAUCCAGCCAUGCCGCGUGCAGGAAGAAGGCCUUCUGGGUUGUAAACUGCUUUUGCCGGGGGAUAAAAGACCCAUGCGUGGGGAAUUGAAGGUACCCGGUGAAUAAGCCACGGCUAACUACGUGCCAGCAGCCGCGGUAAUACGUAGGUGGCGAGCGUUGUCCGGAUUUAUGGGUUUAAACGGGUGCGUAGGCGGCCCCGUAAGUCAGUGGUGAAAUACGGCAGCUCAACUGUCGAGGUGCCAUUGAUACUGCGGGGCUUGAGUACAGUCGAGGUAGGCGGAAUUGACGGUGUAGCGGUGAAAUGCUUAGAUAUCGUCAAGAACACCGAUAGCGAAGGCAGCUUGCUAGGCUGUAACUGACGCUGAGGCACGAAAGUGCGGGGUAUCAAACAGGAUUAGAUACCCUGGUAGUCCGGCACAGUAACGAUGUCGACUCGGUGUUGGUCGGUACGACGGCCGCGCGCCGUACGCGAAGACGUUAGUAGACCGACCGNGGGAGGUACGCCGCGAGGUAAGGUAACGUACGAAGAAGUAGACGGCGUGNGCGNGCCGACGGCGACGACCGAGGGAGGAGG
RNAcentral lists this ribosomal RNA (622 nucleotides) under uncultured bacterium. RNAcentral describes it as "bacterial SSU rRNA". The stretch from base 1 to 538 matches the Rfam family "Bacterial small subunit ribosomal RNA", at positions 338 to 873 of the family's 1533-position model. The record is from RNAcentral.